This 253-nucleotide ribosomal RNA is filed under the name uncultured bacterium. RNAcentral describes it as "partial 16S ribosomal RNA". It matches the Rfam family "Bacterial small subunit ribosomal RNA", at positions 524 to 776 of the family's 1533-position model. The record is from RNAcentral.
CACGUAGGGCGCAAGCGUUGUCCGGAAUUAUUGGGCGUAAAGCGCUCGCAGGUGGUUCGUUGCGUCGUGCGUGAAAGACCCCGGCUCAACUGGGGAGUGUCGUGCGAUACGGGCGAACUGGAGGCCAGUAGGGGGAUGCGGAAUUCCGGGUGUAGUGGUGGAAUGCGUAGAGAUCCGGAGGAACACCAGCGGCGAAGGCGGCAUCCUGGACUGGUCCUGACACUCAGGAGCGAAAGCGUGGGGAGCGAUCCGG